AAUCCAUAGGUUAAUGAGGCGAACCGGGGGAACUGAAACAUCUAAGUACCCCGAGGAAAAGAAAUCAACCGAGAUUCCCCCAGUAGCGGCGAGCGAACGGGGAGGAGCCCAGAGCCUGAAUCAGCAUGUGUGUUAGUGGAAGCGUCUGGAAAGGCGCGCGAUACAGGGUGACAGCCCCGUACACAAAAGCGCAUGUGCUGUGAGCUCGAUGAGUAGGGCGGGACACGUGGUAUCCUGUCUGAAUAUGGGGGGACCAUCCUCCAAGGCUAAAUACUCCUGACUGACCGAUAGUGAACCAGUACCGUGAGGGAAAGGCGAAAAGAACCCCGGCGAGGGGAGUGAAAAAGAACCUGAAACCGUGUACGUACAAGCAGUGGGAGCACAGGUUUACCUGUGUGACUGCGUACCUUUUGUAUAAUGGGUCAGCGACUUAUAUUCUGUAGCAAGGUUAACCGUAUAGGGGAGCCGGAGGGAAACCGAGUCUUAACCGGGCGUUAAGUUGCAGGGUAUAGACCCGAAACCCGGUGAUCUAGCCAUGGGCAGGUUGAAGGUUGGGUAACACUAACUGGAGGACCGAACCGACUAAUGUUGAAAAAUUAGCGGAUGACCUGUGGCUGGGGGUGAAAGGCCAAUCAAACCGGGAGAUAGCUGGUUCUCCCCGAAAGCUAUUUAGGUAGCGCCUCGUGAAUUCAUCUCCGGGGGUAGAGCACUGUUUCGGCUAGGGGGCCAUCCCGGCUUACCAACCCGAUGCAAACUGCGAAUACCGGAGAAUGUUAUCACGGGAGACACACGGCGGGUGCUAACGUCCGUCGUGAAGAGGGAAACAACCCAGACCGCCAGCUAAGGUCCCAAAGUCAUGGUUAAGUGGGAAACGAUGUGGGAAGGCCCAGACAGCCAGGAUGUUGGCUUAGAAGCAGCCAUCAUUUAAAGAAAGCGUAAUAGCUCACUGGUCGAGUCGGCCUGCGCGGAAGAUGUAACGGGGCUAAACCAUGCACCGAAGCUGCGGCAGCGACGCUGAUGCGUUGUUGGGUAGGGGAGCGUUCUGUAAGCCUGUGAAGGUGUGUCGUGAGGCAUGCUGGAGGUAUCAGAAGUGCGAAUGCUGACAUAAGUAACGAUAAAGCGGGUGAAAAGCCCGCUCGCCGGAAGACCAAGGGUUCCUGUCCAACGUUAAUCGGGGCAGG
This 1181-nucleotide ribosomal RNA is filed under the name Salmonella enterica subsp. enterica serovar Offa. RNAcentral describes it as "partial 23S ribosomal RNA". It matches the Rfam family "Bacterial large subunit ribosomal RNA", at positions 161 to 1378 of the family's 2925-position model. The record is from RNAcentral. Lineage: Bacteria; Pseudomonadati; Pseudomonadota; Gammaproteobacteria; Enterobacterales; Enterobacteriaceae.